This 974-nucleotide ribosomal RNA is filed under the name Candidatus Portiera aleyrodidarum (primary endosymbiont of Bemisia tabaci). Its description in RNAcentral is "bacterial SSU rRNA". It matches the Rfam family "Bacterial small subunit ribosomal RNA", at positions 267 to 1233 of the family's 1533-position model. Lineage: Bacteria; Pseudomonadati; Pseudomonadota; Gammaproteobacteria; Johnevansiales (SeqCode); Johnevansiaceae (SeqCode). The record is from RNAcentral.
ACCAAGGUAACGAUCCGUAGCUGGUCUGAGAGGACGAUCAGCCACACUGGGACUGAGAUACGGCCCAGACUCCUACGGGAGGCAGCAGUGGGGAAUAUUGGACAAUGGGGGAAACCCUGAUCCAGUCAUGCCGCGUGUGUGAAGAAGGCCUUAGGGUUGUAAAGCACUUUCAGCGAGGAAGAAAAAUUAUAAAAGAAUAAAUUAUAAGUAUGACGUUACUCGCAGAAGAAGCACCGGCUAACUCCGUGCCAGCAGCCGCGGUAAAACGGAGGGUGCAAGCGUUAAUCGGAAUUACUGGGCGUAAAGGGCAUGUAGGUGGUUUGUUAAGCCUUAUGUGAAAGCCCUAGGCUUAACCUAGGAAAUGGAUAAGGAACUGACAAGCUAGAGUGCAGUAGAGGAAGGUAGAAUUCCAGGUGUAGCGGUGAAAUGCGUAGAUAUCUGGAGGAAUACCAGUGGCGAAGGCGACCUUCUGGACUGACACUGACGCUGAGGUGCGAAAGCGUGGGUAGCAAACAGGAUUAGAUACCCUGGUAGUCCACGCUGUAAACGAUAUCAACUAGCCGUUGGGUUAUUAAAUAAUUUGGUGGCGUAGCUAACGCGAUAAGUUGAUCGCCUGGGGAGUACGGCCGCAAGGCUAAAACUCAAAUGAAUUGACGGGGGCCCGCACAAGCGGUGGAGCAUGUGGUUUAAUUCGAUGCAACGCGAAGAACCUUACCUACUCUUGACAUCCAAAGUACUUUCCAGAGAUGGAAGGGUGCCUUAGGGAACUUUGAGACAGGUGCUGCAUGGCUGUCGUCAGCUCGUGUUGUGAAAUGUUGGGUUAAGUCCCGUAACGAGCGCAACCCUUGUCCUUAUUUGCCAGCGCGUAAUGGUGGGAACUUUAAGGAGACUGCUGGUGAUAAACCGGAGGAAGGUGGGGACGACGUCAAGUCAUCAUGGCCCUUAAGAGUAGGGCUACACACGUGCUACAAUGG